This 375-nucleotide RNase P RNA is filed under the name Salmonella enterica. Its description in RNAcentral is "RNase P RNA component class A". It matches the Rfam family "Bacterial RNase P class A". Rfam says of the family: Ribonuclease P (RNase P) is a ubiquitous endoribonuclease, found in archaea, bacteria and eukarya as well as chloroplasts and mitochondria. Its best characterised activity is the generation of mature 5'-ends of tRNAs by cleaving the 5'-leader elements of precursor-tRNAs. Lineage: Bacteria; Pseudomonadati; Pseudomonadota; Gammaproteobacteria; Enterobacterales; Enterobacteriaceae. The record is from RNAcentral.
GAAGCUGACCAGACAGUCGCCGCUUCGUCGUCGUCCUUUCGGGGAGACGGGCGGAGGGGAGGAAAGUCCGGGCUCCAUAGGGCAGGGUGCCAGGUAACGCCUGGGGGGGAAACCCACGACCAGUGCAACAGAGAGCAAACCGCCGAUGGCCCACGUAAGUGGGAUCAGGUAAGGGUGAAAGGGUGCGGUAAGAGCGCACCGCGCGGCUGGUAACAGUCCGUGGCACGGUAAACUCCACCCGGAGCAAGGCCAAAUAGGGGUUCAUAAGGUACAGCCCGUACUGAACCCGGGUAGGCUGCUUGAGCCAGUGAGCGAUUGCUGGCCUAGAUGAAUGACUGUCCACGACAGAACCCGGCUUAUCGGUCAGUUUCACUU